UACGUAGGGUGCGAGCGUUAAUCGGAAUUACUGGGCGUAAAGGGCGCGUAGGCGGUGUGUCAAGUCAGGCGUGAAAGCCCCGGGCUCAACCUGGGAACAGCGCUUGAGACUGGCACGCUCGAGUUCGGGAGAGGAUGGUGGAAUUCCCAGUGUAGAGGUGAAAUUCGUAGAUAUUGGGAAGAACACCGAAGGCGAAGGCAGUGUCCUGGCUGGUGACUGACGCUGAGGUGCGAAAGCUAGGGGAGCGAACGGG
Molecule: ribosomal RNA, 253 nt
Filed under: uncultured bacterium
Lineage: Bacteria
Description: partial 16S ribosomal RNA
Rfam family: Bacterial small subunit ribosomal RNA
Source: RNAcentral